Molecule: ribosomal RNA, 253 nt
Filed under: uncultured prokaryote
Description: partial 16S ribosomal RNA
Rfam family: Archaeal small subunit ribosomal RNA
Source: RNAcentral
ACCAGCACCUCGAGUGGUCAGGAGGUUUAUUGGGCCUAAAGCAUCUGUAGCCGGUUGUUUAAGUUUUCGGUUAAAUCUAUGCGCUUAACGUAUAGGCUGCCGAAAAUACUGGACAGCUAGGGAGUGGGAGAGGUACACGGUACUCAAUAGGAAGGGGUAAAAUCCUUUGAUCUGUCGAUGACCACCUGUGGCGAAGGCGGUGUACCAGAACACGUUCGACGGUGAGGGAUGAAAGCUGGGGGAGCAAACCGGA